This 550-nucleotide ribosomal RNA is filed under the name Yamadazyma membranifaciens. Its description in RNAcentral is "eukaryotic LSU rRNA". It matches the Rfam family "Eukaryotic large subunit ribosomal RNA", at positions 40 to 628 of the family's 3401-position model. Lineage: Eukaryota; Fungi; Ascomycota; Pichiomycetes; Serinales; Debaryomycetaceae. The record is from RNAcentral.
AUAUCAAUAAGCGGAGGAAAAGAAACCAACAGGGAUUGCCUUAGUAGCGGCGAGUGAAGCGGCAAUAGCUCAAAUUUGAAAUCUGGCACCUUCGGUGUCCGAGUUGUAAUUUGAAGAAGGUAUCUUUGGUUUUGGCUCUUGUCUAUGUUCCUUGGAACAGGACGUCACAGAGGGUGAGAAUCCCGUGCGAUGAGAUGCCCAAUUCCAUGUAAAGUUCCUUCGACGAGUCGAGUUGUUUGGGAAUGCAGCUCUAAGUGGGUGGUAAAUUCCAUCUAAAGCUAAAUAUUGGCGAGAGACCGAUAGCGAACAAGUACUGUGAAGGAAAGAUGAAAAGAACUUUGAAAAGAGAGUGAAAAAGUACGUGAAAUUGUUGAAAGGGAAGGGCUUGAGAUUAGACUUGGAAUUUUCCAUUUAUGGAGCUUUCCGGGCCAGCAUCAGUUUGGAUGGCAGGAUAAUUGCGUUGGAAAGUAGCACCACUUCGGUGGUGUGUUAUAGACUUCGUCGAUACUGCCUAUCUAGACUGAGGACCGCGUCUUUGACUAGGAUGCUG